AGAGUUUGAUCCUGGCUCAGGAUGAACGCUAGCGGCAGGCCUAACACAUGCAAGUCGAGGGAGAAGCCCUUCGGGGCAGAAACCGGCGCACGGGUGCGUAACGCGUAUGCAACCUACCUUUCACAGGGGGAUAGCCCGAAGAAAUUUGGAUUAAUACCCCAUAAUAUUAUUGGAUGGCAUCAUUUGAUAAUUAAAACUGAGGUGGUGAAAGAUGGGCAUGCGUCCUAUUAGCUAGUUGGAGUGGUAACGGCACCCCAAGGCUACGAUAGGUAGGGGUCCUGAGAGGGAGAUCCCCCACACUGGUACUGAGACAGGGACCAGACUCCUACGGGAGGCAGCAGUGAGGAAUAUUGGUCAAUGGUCGGAAGACUGAACCAGCCAUGCCGCGUGCAGGAAGAAUGCCUUAUGGGUUGUAAACUGCUUUUAUAUGGGAAGAAUAAGGCGUACGUGUA
RNAcentral lists this ribosomal RNA (452 nucleotides) under Capnocytophaga sp. CM59. Its description in RNAcentral is "bacterial SSU rRNA". It matches the Rfam family "Bacterial small subunit ribosomal RNA", at positions 8 to 464 of the family's 1533-position model. The record is from RNAcentral. Lineage: Bacteria; Pseudomonadati; Bacteroidota; Flavobacteriia; Flavobacteriales; Flavobacteriaceae.